CUGCUGCCUUCCGUAGGAGUCUGGUCCGUGUCUCAGUACCAGUGUGGGGGACCUUCCUCUCAGAACCCCUACGCAUCGUCGCCUUGGUGGGCCGUUACCCCGCCAACAAGCUAAUGCGACGCAUGACCAUCCGUAGCCGGAAUCGCUUCCUUUAAACCCACAGAGAUGCCUCCAUGGGUUGUUACGCGGUAUUAGACGGAAUUUCUUCCGCUUAUCCCCCUGCUACGGGCAGGUUUCAUACGUGUUACUCACCCGUGCGCCGGUCGCCGGCGGG
Molecule: ribosomal RNA, 274 nt
Filed under: uncultured bacterium
Lineage: Bacteria
Description: partial 16S ribosomal RNA
Source: RNAcentral